ACGCAGCGAAAUGCGAUACGUCAUGCGAAUUGCAAAACUUAGUGAGUCAUCAAAAUUUUGAACGCAUCUUGCACUUCCGUUUACGCGGGAGUAUGUCUGUUGGAGUGUCUGUU
RNAcentral lists this ribosomal RNA (113 nucleotides) under Tilopteris mertensii. RNAcentral's name for it is "partial 5.8S rRNA". It matches the Rfam family "5.8S ribosomal RNA", at positions 43 to 154 of the family's 154-position model. From Rfam's summary of the family: 5.8S ribosomal RNA (5.8S rRNA) is a component of the large subunit of the eukaryotic ribosome. It is transcribed by RNA polymerase I as part of the 45S precursor that also contains 18S and 28S rRNA. The record is from RNAcentral. Lineage: Eukaryota; Phaeophyceae; Tilopteridales; Tilopteridaceae.